RNAcentral lists this ribosomal RNA (254 nucleotides) under uncultured bacterium. RNAcentral's name for it is "partial 16S ribosomal RNA". It matches the Rfam family "Bacterial small subunit ribosomal RNA", at positions 524 to 776 of the family's 1533-position model. The record is from RNAcentral.
UACGUAGGGUGCGAGCGUUGUCCGGAAUUAUUGGGCGUAAAGAGCUCGUAGGCGGUGUGUCACGUCGGCCGUGAAAACCUGCAGCUUAACUGUGGGCGUGCGGUCGAUACGGGCAUCACUGGAGUUCGGCAGGGGAGACUGGAAUUCCUGGUGUAGCGGUGAAAUGCGCAGAUAUCAGGAGGAACACCGGUGGCGAAGGCGGGUCUCUGGGCUGAUACUGACGCUGAGGAGCGAAAGCGUGGGGAGCAAACAGG